UUUUAAUUAACUUCAUAAAUGAUAUUACUUAAUAUAUAUAUCUUGCAUUUUUGUUAGAACAAGUGAGCUCUCACAUUCAUUCAUAAUUAGUAAAAUACGGAAGGAAAAAAAAUGCGAAUUAAAUACGUAUGUUUUUUAUUCGGCAAUAUCUUGGCACAUUACAACUUAAAAGUUCGGCCACUAUACUGUAUUUUUUAAAUAUAUAUUAUUUUUAUUCAAUAAUAUGUGAGUGUAUACGUGUGUUAAACAUGAAAAACACGUACGUGCAUGUAUAAUACGUAACCUUCGAAGUCUCUAAAUGUAUUCAUUAAGCCCUUCAAGACCUUAAUUAAAGUAAUUCAAGGGCUUCAAAUAUAUUUUCACAUUGAGCUUCAAGUACUUACUAAUUCAAGUAAUUCAAAAAGGCUAAGAUAUAAAUUAAUUACAUAUAUGAAAUUAAAGAAGUUGGCAAAAAAAAUCAAAAGUAAAAAAACUGAUUGUAUAUUUUCAAAAUUCGCUAGGUUAGCAGGGUACAGCCGCUCGGCUACACUAUUUUAAAAAAAAAAUUAAGAAAAUCUAGUAUAGCCGGGCGGCUAUACUAUUUAUAUACGUAAUAGGGAUCCAGCCAGCACCUAGGCCCCACGUGUCAAACCAUGCGGCCGUACUGUUCCGAACAUUUAAAAAAAAAAAAAAGGGGUUAGAGGCGAGUAUGGCCGCGCGGCUAUACGAUAUUUUAAAAAAAUUUAAAAAUCUAUUAUAGCCGGGCGGCUGUACUAUUUAUAUACAUAAUAGGGAUCCAGCCAUCACCUAGGCGCCAUGUGUCAAACCAUGCGGCUGUACAGUUCUGAACAUUUUUUUUUUAAAAAAAAGGGUUAAAAGCGAGUAUAGCCGCGCGGCUAUACUAUUUUUGAACAGAAUUUAAAAAUCUAGUAUAGCCGGGCGGCUAUACUAUUUAUAUACAUAAUAGGGAUCCAGCCACCACCGAGGCGCCACAUGUCAAACCAUGCGGCUGUACAGUUCUGGACAUUUUUUUUUAAAAAGGAUUAAAAGCGAGUAUAGCCGUGCGGCUAUACUAUUUUUAUAUUUUCAAAAGGGUCAAUAAUGUUUUUUUAAAAAAGGUUAUUUUUAGUAAUUAAACAAUAUCUUAGCCUGAUUUAAUUACUUGAAUUAUGAAUUAUGUUCUAACUACUAUUUAUCUAGUGAAUAAUUGGUAUUAGAUAUUUUAAUUAACUGCAUAAAUGAUAUUACUUAAUAUAUAUAUCUUGCAUUUUUGUUAGAACAAGUGAGCUCUCACAUUCAUUCAUAGUUAGUAAAAUACGGAAGGAAAAAAAUGCGAAUUAAAUACGUAUGUGUUUGAUUCGGCAAUAUCUUGGCACAUUACAACUUAAAAGUUCGGCCACUAUACUGUAUUUUUUAAAUAUAUAUUAUUUUAUUCAAUAAUAUGUGAGUAUAUACGUGUGUUAAACAUGAAAAACACGUACGUGCAUGUAUAAUUCGUAACCUUCGAGGUCUCUAAAUGUAUUCAUUAAGCCCUUCAAGACCUUAAUUAAAGUAAUUCAAGGGCUUCAAAUAUAUUU
RNAcentral lists this long non-coding RNA (1556 nucleotides) under Prunus persica (peach). RNAcentral describes it as "long non-coding RNA (PPER_LNC005778)". The record is from RNAcentral. Lineage: Eukaryota; Viridiplantae; Streptophyta; Magnoliopsida; Rosales; Rosaceae.